This is a long non-coding RNA of Triticum aestivum (bread wheat), 1441 nucleotides long. RefSeq lists it as uncharacterized. The record is from RefSeq and is a predicted model, not a curated record. NCBI's taxonomy places the organism in Eukaryota, Viridiplantae, Streptophyta, Magnoliopsida, Poales, Poaceae. The transcript has 8 exons.
CUGAUCCAUUCUCUAGUAAACCUAACCGACUCCGUAAAAUCCACACACGGCCGCCAAACUCGUCCGGCGAUGCGGACUCGCUCCUCGUCGACAUCGUCUCCUCCGGCGAUGUGUACUCGAUCUCGCUCCUCUUCGACAUCCUCUUGUCCUCCUCCGGCGGCGAAGUAGGCGCGCUCCUCCUCGAGAUCCUCUACUCCGGCGGUGAAGCGGCGACGCGGGCGCUCUCCUCCGUCGAGACUCCCAGCCUGUCCAGCUACCAUCCGUGGGGAUAGUGGGCUGAUGCUGAUUCUGUUUGAGACGCCCUCCGGCUUUGCAAUUUUCACCUUUUGUGGGUUACUUAUUAGCCGACCAAAUGCUGUGGAGGAAGUAUGGCUUAACUUCACUGAUAGAUGGAAGGCAGAAAGUCUGCCAUCCGUGGGGAUAGUGGAUUGAUGCUGAUUCUGUUUGAGACGCCCUCAGGCUUUGCAAUUUUCACUUUUUGUGGGUUACUUAUUAGCCGACGAAAUGCUGUGCAGGAAGUAUGGCUUAGCUUCACUGAUGGACGGAAGGCAAAACGUGCUGUUUUCCUGGAAGGGUUUCGAACUUUUAAGGACAAGUCCAAGGCCAUUAAUAAAAGUACUGGUGUCAGCAAAAGGCUUACUGAGAUGAUCACGAACUGUCGCUUCCCUGAGCAGAAAAUUGCUGUUGGAAAGCUUGAAUACAAAAGAAUUAUUGAAGAGAGAUUGGUGAGUAUAAGCUCCUGGUUUAUCUAUAUUUUUGAACAACUUUGAUUGCCAUUUUUGCUGUGACUUCUUCCAGAAUAUAGACUGCCUGUACAAUACAGCUGUGAUGGAGGUAAUGUGGGGCAUACAGCAUUGCAUGCCAAGUUUACUGCCUCAAGAAAAAUCACAACUGACAGAAGCGGACUGUCUCCCGAUGAGUCUAGGACUGCACUAUGUAUUGCAACAUUAUGACUGUGAUGUCAACACAGAUAUGGUCGAUGAGCAAAUUGUUGCGACAGCUUCUGCGUUGUUUCAGUGUGAUUCUGUUGAGAAGAAAUAUUCUGGAGCCUUGCGCCGUGCAGGUGACCUCAUUAAGGAUGUUUCUGGCAUCAACUGCAAGGGUUGGACGUUACUGAAAAUUGCAACAGCUCUGAAGAUGAUAUGGUGGCCUGAAUUUGGCGACUCCUGUGAGGUUUCAGAAGAUGAUGUGUCAAGGUUGGUGGCUCAUGCAUAUAUAUAUAUAACGUUCAUAAGAAUAAAGAUUCUUGUUUGAGAGUCUACAAAGAUAUGGUCGAAGCUCAUGAAAUUAAGACCUCAAAAAAAGAACUACUGAAAUCGUUGGUUGAGCUGGCCAAUAAAACAUAUGAGGCUCAAGGGCCUGAGAAGAAUGUAUAGACCAUAUAAGCUCACAGAUAGCUGAAACUGUUGCAGCUAAUAAUUUGUUCUCAGUCUGAAGCGAG